CUUUACUGCAACUUGACGUUGGAACUUGGCUGUAUUUGUGUAGGAUAGGUGGGAGACUUUGAAGCAGGGCCGCCAGGUCUUGCGGAGUCGUCGUUGAAAUACCACCCUGGUGCUGACGAGUUUCUAACCGGGUCCGUAAGCCGGAUCCGAGACAGUGUCUGGUGGGCAGUUUGACUGGGGCGGUCGCCUCCUAAAAGGUAACGGAGGCAUUCAAAGGUCCCCUCAGCGUGGUCGGUAAUCACGCGCAGAGUGCAAACGCAUAAGGGGGCUUAACUGCGAGACCGACAGGUCGAGCAGGUACGAAAGUAGGAGUUAGUGAUCCCGCGGUUUAGCGUGGAAUUGCCGUUGCUCAAUGGAUAAAAGGUA
This 366-nucleotide ribosomal RNA is filed under the name uncultured organism. RNAcentral's name for it is "bacterial LSU rRNA". It matches the Rfam family "Bacterial large subunit ribosomal RNA", at positions 2099 to 2465 of the family's 2925-position model. The record is from RNAcentral.